UCGAGGAUCAUUCGCAAUGGGCGAAAGCCUGACGAUGCGACGCCGUGUGAGCGAUGAAGGCCUUCGGGUUGUAAAGCUCUUUCGCUUGGGAACAAGAGAGUGCAGUGAAUAGCUGUGCGAUUUGAGGGUACCAGGUAAAGAAGCACCGGCUAACUCCGUGCCAGCAGCUGCGGUAAUACGGAGGGUGCAAGCAUUAAUCGGAUUUAUUGGGCGUAAAGGGCGCGUAGGCGGGUUUGUAAGUCAGAUGUGAAAUUCCGAAGCUCAACUUCGGGACUGCAUUUGAAACUGCGAAUCUGGAGGGAUGGCGGAGAAAAUGGAAUUCCACAAGUAGCGGUGAAAUGCGUAGAUAUGUGGAAGAACACCGGUGGCGAAAGCGGUUUUCUAGCUAUUACCUGACGCUAAAGCGCGAGAGCAAGGGGAGCAAACAGGAUUAGAUACCCCCGUAGUCC
RNAcentral lists this ribosomal RNA (449 nucleotides) under uncultured bacterium. RNAcentral's name for it is "bacterial SSU rRNA". It matches the Rfam family "Bacterial small subunit ribosomal RNA", at positions 355 to 796 of the family's 1533-position model. The record is from RNAcentral.